This is a small nucleolar RNA of Ornithorhynchus anatinus (platypus), 138 nucleotides long. NCBI's taxonomy places the organism in Eukaryota, Metazoa, Chordata, Mammalia, Monotremata, Ornithorhynchidae. The record is from RefSeq and is a predicted model, not a curated record.
CCCCUCUCAGGAUGGCACCUGGAGAUUUUCCAGUACUCUGCCAGUCUCUGCUGCCGGAAGGAGAGUCAAGCAGAGGCUUACCCAUUCCAUUCCUAGCUUGGGCCGUGGCUAGCCAGUGGAAGCCGGUCUGCUACAAGU